This is a non-coding RNA of Vicia faba (fava bean), 237 nucleotides long. The record is from the annotation of a GenBank genome assembly. Lineage: Eukaryota; Viridiplantae; Streptophyta; Magnoliopsida; Fabales; Fabaceae.
AUGAGCAUAGACGUAUCAGAUAAGAAGAUUUUUCAGCUCAAAAGAUUAUGGAAGCACAACAAGAUAAGCAAGGUCCACCUGAGCAACAACAUUAUUUUUGAGAAGGGUUGUAUGACAUGUCUCUUUCUUGUACAGUACGAGCAUCAUGUUGCUCGCCGAUUAUGGCAUGAAAAGUGGUAUUCAGAGACAUCGUCAUUUCAUAUUGUUGUACUUCGAAAUUCGUCAUUUUCAAUCUAA